AUGACCAGGAUCAGGUUCAAUAAUAGGCAACGCCUGCUGAAAAUUGUCAACUGAUAGAGCCCCGGAUGCGAAAAGGCAGAGAAGAAGCGAAAAUACCAAAAUCCAAUGAGAAAUCUCAUAAUUGAAAGAUUGCCAAAAAUGAUUAUUGCUCAGCUCUACCUCCCAAAUGCAGCUAAGUCAGGGACAUGAAACGUAUGGAACCUUACAGACAACGCACUUAUUCAUGAGAAGAACAAAUUGGUUUUUUGAAUAAAUUGGCGGUAAGAGUAACGGGAUCCUAACCGUUAAGAAUCUCGCAACCACAGUUGGUUUUCGCAACUAAAAGCAGAGGAUCCUAACCGCCUUGGAAAAAAGUCUUCGUCUUUUUCAAUUCACAUGGGAGAAAAUUGGAGUUUUAGGGUGAAUUAUUGUAAACAAAGUAUACGUGACUCUAGGCCUUUGUUUGGAUGUGUGGAA
Molecule: unclassified non-coding RNA, 456 nt
Filed under: Hevea brasiliensis (rubber tree)
Lineage: Eukaryota; Viridiplantae; Streptophyta; Magnoliopsida; Malpighiales; Euphorbiaceae
Source: RNAcentral